GUUGUACUGUUAUACCACUGUCCCAGGUUAGGGGGAGGGUUGGGAUCCCGUUAACAUGUUUAAUCCCGCCACAUUAUUUAUGUAUGUGCCUGUCCCAAGUCAGGAGCCUGUAAUUCAGUGGUCGUCGUUUGUUUAUGUGUUACAUAUUUGUUUUUCGUUCAUUUUUUUACAUAAAUAAGGCUGUUAGUUUUCUUGUUUGAAUUGUUUUACAUUGUCUUAUCGGGGCCUUUUAUAGCUCACUAUGCGGUAUGAGCUUUGCUCAUUAUUGAAGGCCGUACGGUGACCUAUAGUUUUUAAUGUCUGUGUUAUUUUGGUCUUUUGUGGAUAGUUG
RNAcentral lists this long non-coding RNA (331 nucleotides) under Mytilus galloprovincialis (Mediterranean mussel). Lineage: Eukaryota; Metazoa; Mollusca; Bivalvia; Mytilida; Mytilidae. The record is from RNAcentral.